RNAcentral lists this ribosomal RNA (477 nucleotides) under uncultured bacterium. Its description in RNAcentral is "partial 16S ribosomal RNA". It matches the Rfam family "Bacterial small subunit ribosomal RNA", at positions 28 to 507 of the family's 1533-position model. The record is from RNAcentral.
GAUCAACGCUGGCGGCGUGCAUAACACAUGCAAGUCGAACGAUGAAGAUUAAAAGAUUUCUUCGGAAUGAACUUAAUUGGAUUAGUGGCGGACGGGUGAGUAACGCGUGAGUAACCUGCCUUGUACAAGGGGAUAGCCGUUGGAAACGACGAAUAAUACCCUAUGACAUCAAAUAAUCGCAUGAUAAUUUGAUCAAAGAUUUAUCGGUAUAAGAUGGACUCGCGUCUGAUUAGCUAGUUGGUAGAGUAAAAGCCUACCAAGGCAACGAUCAGUAGCCGGCUUGAGAGAGUGUACGGCCACAUUGGGACUGAGACACGGCCCAGACUCCUACGGGAGGCAGCAGUGGGGAAUUUUGCACAAUGGGGGAAACCCUGAUGCAGCGACGCCGCGUGAUUGAGAAGGCCUUCGGGUUGUAAAAAUCUUUUGUAUGGGAAGAAAAUGACAGUACCAUACGAAUAAGAACCGGCUAAUUACGUG